Molecule: long non-coding RNA, 1129 nt
Organism: Schistocerca serialis cubense
Lineage: Eukaryota; Metazoa; Arthropoda; Insecta; Orthoptera; Acrididae
Exons: 2
Source: RefSeq, a predicted model, not a curated record
UUGGUUAUGGCUUGGUUUAUUCUGUUUUUCAUAUGAGUGAAAUCAUUACUCUUUCUUCUGAGCGAUGUUGCGUAAGACUGACUUCGGCACGACAAUCAAACAGCAACUGAAUGAAUAUCAAAUCACGCGGGAAGAUUUGCGCGGGGAAGUAGCACUUAGCCACUUUUCUGCUCCGCAUAUCUUACCCGCAGUACAAGUUUAACACAGAAACGGAAGGCUAACUUAAUGCUUUUCACUGCUGUUUAAAUCGUCUUGUCCAAGUAAUUCACGAUGUUCAAUAAAACAAAAUACGCACAUUUCGACUUGAUACCUUUCAGCUCCGACCGAUUCAAUUAUUUUGCAAGUGGCUUGUUUUCAAACCAAUAUUUACUAGAAUAUGUUUGUUUCUGUCAUCAUACAUUUUCAUUUUUGUCAGUUUUCACUGUUAAUGAUGCUCUCCCCCGCACAGCUCAGAGAUAUGUUAAAUCGUAUAUUGAUCAUGCUAGGUUGACACUGACAAUUUACGUUCUGAAAUUAAAAUAAAAACAGAAGAAAUGCGAACAUACCAGCAGGUAUCAACAAAAGUAACCUGUAAGAAAAGCCAUUGAUCGUACUUAUCACUGAAGAAACAUGAAAUAAAAUUUAAAAAUUUGUUAUCCAAAUUUGAUACAAUUUGUAACAUUUGGAAUACAAAGCUUCACAUCUGACCAGAUACUUGGCUGUUGGAGAUGUGCUGAAUAUGAUAUCAUUUAGCUAUCACAAGGUACAUAGUAUGGUUGAUAAGACCAUAUGGGAAACCUGCAAGAUAAUUACAGACAAUGAUGAAUCAAUUGAUGCCUGCUCUGACAGAAGGAAUGUGGAAGGACAUUGCUAAUGCUUUUUAUAAAAUGUGGCAUUUUUCUGAACUUCAUAGGAGCUAUGGAUGGGAAACACAUUUCUAAUAAGGCUCCUUCAAAAACUGGAUCACUAUUGUUCAAUUGCAAAAAGACAUUCUCUAUAACUUUGUUGCCUAUUGUAGGUGCUCAGUGUCAGGGCACAUGGAAAGAUAAUGUUACAGUUAUAGCUAACACUCUCAGACAAUAGUCUUAGUCUUUUACCUAGCUGGUUGCAUUCGUUGAUGUAAAAUCAGAAAUAUACAUUUAAUUAUUUA